UACGUAGGGGGCAAGCGUUGUCCGGAUUUAUUGGGCGUAAAGAGCGUGUAGGCGGUUCGGUAGGUCCGUUGUGAAAACUCGAGGCUCAACCUCGAGACGCCGAUGGAAACCCUCGAACUAGAGUCCGGAAGAGGAGAGUGGAAUUCCUGGUGUAGCGGUGAAAUGCGCAGAUAUCAGGAAGAACACCCGUGGCUAAGGCGGCUCUCUAGUACGGUACUGACGCUGAGACGCGAAAGCGUGGGGAGCGAACGGG
RNAcentral lists this ribosomal RNA (253 nucleotides) under uncultured bacterium. Its description in RNAcentral is "partial 16S ribosomal RNA". It matches the Rfam family "Bacterial small subunit ribosomal RNA", at positions 524 to 776 of the family's 1533-position model. The record is from RNAcentral.